ACCAGGCGUGGUGGCGAACGCCUGUAAUCCCAGGGGCUCAGGAGGCUGAGGCAAGAGGAUCAAUAGUUCAAAGCCAGCCUCAGCAAAGAUGAGAAACUAAGCAACUCAGUGAGACUCUGUCUCUA
RNAcentral lists this small RNA (125 nucleotides) under Marmota monax (woodchuck). Lineage: Eukaryota; Metazoa; Chordata; Mammalia; Rodentia; Sciuridae. The record is from RNAcentral.